Molecule: ribosomal RNA, 301 nt
Filed under: uncultured bacterium
Lineage: Bacteria
Description: partial 16S ribosomal RNA
Rfam family: Bacterial small subunit ribosomal RNA
Source: RNAcentral
CAGUAGCCACGGUAAUACGUAGGGUGCAAGCGUUAAUCGGAAUUACUGGGCGUAAAGCGUGCGCAGGCGGUUAUAUAAGACAGAUGUGAAAUCCCCGGGCUCAACCUGGGAACUGCAUUUGUGACUGUAUAGCUAGAGUACGGCAGAGGGGGAUGGAAUUCCGCGUGUAGCAGUGAAAUGCGUAGAUAUGCGGAGGAACACCGAUGGCGAAGGCAAUCCCCUGGGCCUGUACUGACGCUCAUGCACGAAAGCGUGGGGAGCAAACAGGAUUAGAUACCCCCGUAGUCCCUGUCUCUUAUAC